AGAAUCAACGCUGGCGGCGUGCCUAACACAUGCAAGUCGAACGCUUCCGGGGCUUCGGUCGCGGAGGAGUGGCGCACGGGUGAGUAGCGCGUGGGAACCUGCCCUGUUGUGGGGGAUAACCGAGGGAAACUUCGGCUAAUACCGCAUACGCCCCGGGACUUGGUCUUCGGAUUAGGUCUGGGGGGAAAGAUUGAUCGCAGCAGGAGGGGCCCGCGUCGGAUUAGCUGGUUGGUGGGGUAACGGCUCACCAAGGCGAUGAUCCGUAGCUGGUCUGAGAGGAUGAUCAGCCACACUGGGACUGAGACACGGCCCAGACUCCUACGGGAGGCAGCAGUGGGGAAUAUUGGACAAUGGGGGCAACCCUGAUCCAGCAAUGCCGCGUGAGUGAUGAAGGCCUUAGGGUUGUAAAGCUCUUUCGCCCGCGACGAUGAUGACGGUAGCGGGAGAAGAAGCCCCGGCUAACUUCGUGCCAGCAGCCGC
Molecule: ribosomal RNA, 480 nt
Filed under: uncultured bacterium
Lineage: Bacteria
Description: SSU rRNA
Rfam family: Bacterial small subunit ribosomal RNA
Source: RNAcentral